UUAGAGUUUGAUCCUGGCUCAGAACGAACGCUGGCGGUGUGCUUAACACAUGUAAGUCGUACGAGAAAGCUUGCUUCGGUGAGUUAUUAAAGUGGCGCACGGGUGAGUAACACGUGGGUAACCUACCCUCCGAACCGGGAUAACAUCUCGAAAGAGAUGCUAAUACUGGAUACGUCCUUUAGUCCUUCGGGAAAAAAGGGGAAAGAUGGCCUCUGCUUGCAUGCUAUUAUCGGUGGAUGGGCCCGCGGGCCAUUAGUUUGUUGGUAGGGUAACGGCCUACCAAGGCGACGAUGGCUAGCUGGUCUGAGAGGGUGAUCAGCCACACUGGAACUGGAACACGGUCCAGACUCCUACGGGAGGCAGCAGUGGGGAAUAUUGCGCAAUGGGGGAAACCCUGACGCAGCGACGCCGCGUGAGUGAUGAAGGCCUUCGGGUCGUAAAGCUCUGUCAGAGGGGAAGAAGGAAUUAAUGGUUAAUAUCUAUUGAUUUUUGACGGUACCCUCAGAGGAAGCACCGGCUAACUCCGUGCCAGCAGCCGCGGUAAUACGGAGGGUGCAAGCGUUGUUCGGAAUUACUGGGCGUAAAGGGCGCGUAGGCGGCCGUUUAAGUCAGAUGUGAAAGCCCUCGGCUUAACCGAGGAACUGCAUUUGAAACUGGAUGGCUUGA
Molecule: ribosomal RNA, 666 nt
Filed under: uncultured bacterium
Lineage: Bacteria
Description: bacterial SSU rRNA
Rfam family: Bacterial small subunit ribosomal RNA
Source: RNAcentral